AUGCAAAUAAUUUCCAUUGAUGAUGAUCAGUUUAGAAACUUCACGUCAUUUUAAGAAUCUUUUUAGCUUAUUACAUUGUUCUAACAUACUAAUAUGUGUAAAGAACUUAUCGAAAACAGAGUAAUAGACUGUAUUCUGCACAUGACAUUUAUCACCUGCUUGGUACUGAAUUUUGGAGGGAGCUGGACAGUACAUAUAAAACUAUGUAGGAAAAACUGUUUCUUGCACAUUUAUAUAGAUUGUGAUAUAAUUGCAUUGUUUGUUACUUUGUUUGCAUCAGGUUAGUUAAUAGGUCUGUGCAAAUCAAUUCUUGCAACCACCUAUCUACUCUCUGACCUGGUUCUAUAAAUAUCGAUGUUUGUGCUCAGUAUAAGCACACCAUCUCCUUUGGUAGUUCCAGUUGAGCAGAUCAUUUUCAGCUUGCAGGGUUGUCAUCAGUUUCCUCAUUGGUGCCCUCAAUGGAUAGAGCGUCUCAGUGGAGCUGCUGAAGCUAGAUGCUCAACCUGCACAUGAGUGAGUGCUCGUGGAAGCGCGCUGCAAACAUGUCGAUGGUGGCUGCUGAAGCUUGACUUUGGCAACGAGUCCAGGUGGCCAUUGGCACAGACAUGUCAUCCGUGAGCUUUAGUUCCAGGCGAGAUUCCAAGAGAAAUGUUCCCUUGCUUUGGUUGGAUGGGUGUAGGAGCAGCAAGCAUCGCCGCCACACGGAAAACUCCAGUAACUUCUUGCCCCUUCCAGCCUCGGUGAGAUGGCAUCGUAUUUUUUGAUCACGAACGACUUCAAGCUGAAGAUGUUGAACCAUGCGAUGCAAGAAUUAUUAUUUUGGGCUCCUAUGGAAGAUUUAUGCUCUUCCUGUUGUAUUCAGUCAAGGAACGUACAUAGAUAUUGGAAGCUAUACACUAUAAUGGAAUUUCUUCUGCUCUCACUCAUGUAAUUGCUGUCAAGAACACUGUCAGUUCAGCGGUUGUCAUCAUGCAAGCAAUUGGCCGCUGAUCUGCUUGCUCUUUGUACUACUAAAGGUGGCAUCAUACGGCGAAGCAGGGGAUAUGGAUCAGAAGCCGCAAUGGUGCGCGUGACGACAUGUCUAACACUUGCCUGACCCUGGACUCUGGCUUCUUCUUUCAAGUUGACCAUACUAUUGUGAGAAUCUCGGCCAGGAUCAUUCUUUAUAUCAUGUUGGAUCAUCUUGGAAUUUGUAGAGUAAUUUAUCGUCUAAGGAUGUACUCACAGAACACAAUCAGUGUGGUUGUGCUUUUCUACACUUCUGUCCAGAGCAAUGGGAUAUGUAUUCUGUACUGUACGGCUACCCUCUAAUGCAUUUCUCAGACUUCAGUCUCUCUCUUUCUGCACAAAUGACUUGGUCUAAUUAUUAUGAAAGACCUGUGGAGUGUGUUGCUUUCUAUAUAAACAACUCGCUCUAAUUCUGAUUUAUCAUAUUGCAUAGCUUUUGAUA
Non-coding RNA from Aegilops tauschii subsp. strangulata, 1450 nucleotides. The record is from RefSeq and is a predicted model, not a curated record. Lineage: Eukaryota; Viridiplantae; Streptophyta; Magnoliopsida; Poales; Poaceae.